CUCCGCGGAGGCGACAGCGGCGGCAGGGGGCUCACACGGGGGGAGGGGGAGCGAUCGGAUCCGCGGGCGGGCGCGAGUCCGGGGCUCCGAGCCGGGAUUCCAGGCCGGUCAGCUGGAGCGGGCCGCACCACUCGCCCUGCGGAGACGGGGGUGGGGGGGCCGUGGCGCGGAGAGGGAGGGCGGGGAGCUCGGAGGAGGGGCGUGCGGGCGGACGAGGGCCGCGGCGGAGGAGGGCGACCCGGAGGCUUUGGCAGCUCCCGCCGCCGCUCCCCGGCCAGAGCGAGGUCCCGUGCAGCGGCUCGGGGACAGACCUGAGGCCCCCGCCAGCCCCGGAGUCGCCGCGGCCGCUGUGACGCCCGAGGCCUCGCUCCCUCCGCAACACGCUCCCCUCCCCCGGAGGCUGCGCUGACCGGACAAUGGCCGCUCCGCCCCCUCCCCUCCGCGUGCUCCCCUCCCGAGGAGCCGCGAUGGUCUCGCCCGGGGAAGCCGCCGCCAAAGCCCAGCAGCUGAUCAGCUGGGAUCCGGGCGUGCCACUUUGUUCCGCGGCUCAGAGUCCGGGGCUGUGGGCAACGCCGAGAGCGUCGAGCAACGGGCUUCUGAGGCCUUCGUGUUCUAGGAACUUUCAAAAUCUGAGGCAAACUUACUUCCCCCUGUCAGAGGAAGGAGAGCAUGUUUCUGAGUACUCUGGGCGCUUCCCCCCCAGCAAAGCGAAUGGUAUGCUCCAAACAGGAGGGGGAGGAGCAGAUUAGUUGUUUAGGGUAAGUUGGGCCAGUCCCAGAGCGGCGGCGCAUGCGCCCGGAGACCCCACAGCCGGGUGCUGGGAGGGGCCGCGAGAGAGCCUUGCCAAACCCGGAAGUGGGUGUCGGGCUUCCCGGGGCUGUCGGGGUCUUCCCCUGUUGGCUGCGCCCCAAAGGCGGUCUCCUUACCCUUGGACGAUGCUGGGAGCAAGAACCAUAUUCAGCUCCGUAUCUUUCUAAAGAUGCUGUUGGUAGAGAAGAAAAUAUUUGUAAAAACCAAGCUACUUCACUGGAGCACUCCCGAAACGCUUUCAACUGGAAGAUGCCUGCCCAUCUUGGGGAAAGGAGACCAGUGGAAGUCUCUUUUUUGCGAAAGGACUUCACCUCUGAGUCCAUGCAGCUGACGUGGACUUUACUUAGCCUACAGGUUUGUUUUCUUACAUUCUCAGCCUGCUGUACAAAAAAUACUGUAAUUGGGUAGCUUAUGAACAUCAGAAAUUUAUUCCUCACAGUUGUGAGAAAUCCAAGACCAAGCCACAUGCAGAUUUGGUUUGAUAAGGGCUUACAAUGUGCUUCAAAGAUGGUGCCCUCAGGCUGAGGAUACAGCUCAGUGGCACAGCACGAGGUCACAAGUUCAAUCCCCAGUAGCAAAAAAAAAAAAAAAAAAAAAAAAAAAAUGCAGUUGAGUGACUAAGCAUAGGCACAGAGCCCUUUCCGUCUGGUCACAGGAUUUGGAGUUGCCUCAGGGAGACAUGGCUCAUUCUCUGAGCCAACUUGCUAUCUUCAUCUCCUGGGAUCAAGUGUCCUCAAGAUCACAUAAGCCCAGAGCUGCUGUGGGACCUUCUGUCUGGAGUAAGGCUGCCUGGCGAUCAAUCCAACAAAAAGGAAGGAAGAGAAAGAGAUUGAAUUAACAAGAUGUCAUUUCAGACCUUAAAUCCAGCUAAGCCUGAUGCCAGAACUGCCCUUUGGACUUUUCAGUUAUCUGGACCAAUAAAUACCUCUCCCUAUACACAUACUCUUACGUUAGAUUUCAGCACAUUUCCAUGAGAAAAGUCCUGACUAUCCCUAAUAUCUAUUUUAUAUUGUGGGUUUGUUGUGAAAAUUAAAGUAUAUAAUUCAAGAGGAAACCUUAUCUUAGUACACAAUUUAUUGAGUAUAAACUCGAUAAAUGUGUAUUAUUAUUUGUUUCUUCUUGAUAAUUAUUGGCCACUCUAGUGUAUGGGUAUACCCUUUGAAGAAUUCUCUCUUGAUUCAGUUUUCCCUCAUUUAUUCAUUUAUAUACGUUUAUUCAUUCAACAGACAUUUGAGCACCUAUUGUAUUAGGAACUAUCAGAGGUAUUAAGGUACAGUUCAAAUGAGGCAUAAAUUCCCUGCUUUAGUGCUUAUACUGUAGUAAUAAGGCAAGCAAUUUUUUCAAAUAUUUAGAAGAACAAACCCCACUUUUCAUGUUUGUAAAUAAUUACAGUGAACAUCUUUCAUCUUUGCCUGUGUGUCCUAUUAGUAUCUUGGAUAUGGUUUUUUGUUUGUUUUUUGUGGUUCUGGGGAUUGAACUCAUCGAGCUUGCCAGGCAGGCACUUAGGCCACUGAGCUAAAUCCCCAGCUUGGAUAUGUUUUUAAAUGGGGUCUCAUCAUAAUGACCAGACUGGCCCCACGCUUCUAGGUUUAAGCCAUCUUUCUGCUUCAGCCUGUCAAGAAAUGAGAGCUACAGGCUUGCACCACCCCCACUUGGCUUUUGGAUAAAUUUUUGCUUAUGUUUUGAGACAGUCUCACUAUGGAAUUUAGGUUGUACUCAAACUCACUAUGUAGCGCAGGCUGAUCUCCAACUCACAGCAAUCCUCUUGCCUCAGCCUCACAAAUUCUGGCAUUACAGAUGUGCACCAGCAUGCCCAGUUUUUUUGGAUAAAAUUUUUGGAAAAAAAAAAUCAUGAUACUCUUUUAAUAGUCAUUACACGUGGUCAAACUUUGUUCCAGAAAGGUUAUACCUACUUGCACUCCCUACAGCAAUGAACAAAAAACGUAGAUUUCCCCAUACCUCAGUAGCCUUGGGAUAGCAUUACUCUUUGCAAUUAUUGCCAAUGUAAAGAUAAAAAAACCCUCCUAAUGGUUAUUUCAAUUUGCAUUUUUAGAAUUAUUGAGCUCCAGGCACACAUAUAUGUUUACUUGUAUUUAUAAUUAUAUAUAAGAUGUAUUUUACAUAUAAGAUGUAUAUGUAUUUCUAAAAAUAUGUGUGCAUAAAUAUAUAUAAAGUAUUUAAAUCUUUUUUUUUGUAUUGCCCUAUUUAUGUCCUGUUUUUCUUUCUUUUCUUUUCUUUUUUUUUUUUUUUUUUUUUGUCUUUUUCCUUUUUAUCAGUACCAGGGAUUGAACUCAGGACUGUCUGCUUGCAAGGCAGGUACUUAUGCCGCUGAGCUAAAUCCCCAGCCCCUUAUGUCCUGCUUUUCCACGUGUGUUUUUUAUUAUUAUUUAAAGGUAUUAAUGUUCACAUUAAGAAUACAGACACUUUGUCAAAUGCAUUGUGAAUUAUCCCUCUUAUCAUUUGCCUCUUACUUGUUUCUAGGCUUUUCAUUUUCAAGAGUCUGAAAAUGUGAAUUAACUUUGUCUAAUGUUUGAAUUGCUGACACCGACACUUUUUCUAAAGGCCUCUAGUUGUUUGUGCAUUAAAAAGAAAGAAAAGGAGAGAAUUAAAAGGAAA
Cavia porcellus (domestic guinea pig) is the source of this 3426-nucleotide long non-coding RNA. Lineage: Eukaryota; Metazoa; Chordata; Mammalia; Rodentia; Caviidae. The record is from Ensembl.